Molecule: small RNA, 101 nt
Filed under: Arabidopsis thaliana (thale cress)
Lineage: Eukaryota; Viridiplantae; Streptophyta; Magnoliopsida; Brassicales; Brassicaceae
Description: ATSL030070
Source: RNAcentral
AAUAAAAUCUUUCGUGAGUUCUAGAUUAGCCGUUUGUGUGACUGUUUUGUUGAAAUCCGCAAAGUUCAGUGGAGAAACUUGAAUACCAUUAGAGCUGAAUA